GACGAACGCUGGCGGCGUGCCUAACACAUGCAAGUCGAGCGGAGCGGCGGACGGGUGAGUAAUGCCUAGGAAUCUGCCUGGUAGUGGGGGAUAACGUCCGGAAACGGGCGCUAAUACCGCAUACUAUCAGAUGAGCCUAGGUCGGAUUAGCUAGUUGGUGGGGUAAAGGCCUACCAAGGCGACGAUCCCUAGCUGGUCUGAGAGGAGGACCAGCCAAACGGGAACUGAGACACGGUCCAGACGCCUACGGGAGGCAGCAGUGGGGAAUAUUGCACAAUGGGCGCAAGCCGGAUAGAGCAAUGCCGCGUGUGUGAAGAAGGCCUUCGGGUUGUAAAGUACUUUCAGCGGGGAGGCGUUACCCGCAGAAGAAGCACCGGCUAACUCCGUGCCAGCAGCCGCGGUAAUAC
RNAcentral lists this ribosomal RNA (407 nucleotides) under uncultured bacterium. RNAcentral's name for it is "partial 16S ribosomal RNA". It matches the Rfam family "Bacterial small subunit ribosomal RNA", at positions 28 to 526 of the family's 1533-position model. The record is from RNAcentral.